UCGUGUACUGGUCGGGGUGGCGCGACCUGCGGCUGGCGCUGCCGCUGGUCCUGGCGGGCCUGCUGGUGUUCCUCGCCAUGCACCGC
Molecule: transfer RNA, 86 nt
Filed under: Streptomyces thermoviolaceus subsp. apingens
Lineage: Bacteria; Bacillati; Actinomycetota; Actinomycetes; Kitasatosporales; Streptomycetaceae
Also listed under: 1 other name
Description: tRNA-Arg
Source: RNAcentral